CCGGGCGGGGGCGCCGGCGCCUCCCAGUGCGGCGGCCGCCAGUGAGCCCGGCGGGGGCGGCCGGGUCAGGUAGUACCGGCGGGGACCUGAGCCGAGCCGAGCCGAGCCGAGCCGAGGACGGCCUGCAGUGCCGGCAUGGUGCUGCAGGAGCCCGCCGGGGCACGGAGUCAGUCGGCUGCGGGAGGAGGGGCUGCUGCUGCUGCCCCCGCCGAGGUGCAGCUGUCCCGGCGUCGCUGGGCCGUGCUGCUGCUCUUCAGCAGCUACUCCCUGUGCAACGCCUUCCAGUGGAUCCAGUACGGCAGCAUCAACAACGUCUUCGUGCGCUUCUACGACGUGAGCGCCUUCGCCAUCGACUGGCUCUCCAUGAGCUACAUGCUCGUCUACAUCCCCCUGCUCUUCCCUGUCGCUUGGCUGCUGGACAAGAGGGGGCUGCGCCUCGUCGCCCUGGCUGGCUCGGCCCUGAAUGCUGUGGGCGCCUGGGUGAAGCUGGGCAGCAUGAAGCCGCAUCUCUUCCCCGUCACCGUCCUGGGGCAGGUCAUCUGUGCCCUGGCCCAGGUCUUCAUCCUGGGCAUGCCCUCGCGCAUCGCCUCUGUCUGGUUUGGCUCCCACGAAGUCUCCACCGCCUGCUCCAUCGCGGUCUUUGGGAACCAGCUUGGUAUCGCUGUGGGCUUUGUAGUCCCUCCAGUUCUGAUUCCUAAUGUGGAGGAUGUGGAGAAGCUGGCCUACCACAUCAGCAUCAUGUUCUUCAUGACUGCAGGUGUGGCAUCAGCCCUAUUCAUCCUGGUCAUCCUAGUAUUCAAGGAGAAGCCCCAGAACCCUCCAAGCCGAGCUCAGGCCUUGAUCCAGUCAAGACCAACGGCAGAAUAUUCCUACGUGCAAUCAAUCCUCCGUCUGCUCCACAAUGCCAACUUUUUGCUCCUUAUGGUCACUUACGGUCUGAAUGCAGGUUGUUUCUACGCCCUGUCCACUCUGCUGAACCGCAUGGUGAUCCACCACUACCCAGGGGAGGAGGUGAAUGCUGGCAGGAUUGGACUCACCAUUAUAGUGUCGGGGACAGUUGGGGCUCUGAUCUCCGGCAUCUGGUUGGACAGAACCAAAACCUACAAACAGACAACACUAGUCGUCUAUAUCAUGUCUCUAGUGGGAAUGAUAAUCUACACCUUCACUCUGAGCCUAGGCCAUCUCUGGGUGGUCUUUGUGACUGCUGGCACGCUGGGUUUUUUCAUGACAGGAUACCUUCCCCUGGGCUUUGAGUUUGCUGCAGAGUUGACAUACCCAGAAUCAGAAGGAACAUCAUCAGGGCUCCUUAAUGUCUCAGCACAGAUUUUUGGUAUUGCUUUCACCAUUGGCCAAGGGCAAAUCAUGGAUCGCUUUGGAACGAAGGCAGGAAACCUCUUUCUUUGUUCCUUCCUGUUCCUGGGGACCGUUAUGACAGCAUUCAUUAAGGCUGAUCUUCGAAGACAACAGGCCAAUUUGGAAAAUGAACACACAAGACUCCAAGGCAGCAAUCAGAUCAUGGAUUAUGGGACUGUAGCUUGUAACUGUAACCCAUCAAUUCCCACUCCUGCUCACUAGUUUAUACACCAAGAUGUCAGUCUUACCCCACAGUGAGUAAAUUCAGAGCCCAGGCUGCAGGAAGCUCCACAUUCACCCUUACAAGUCUGCAUGCCGUCUUCUGAAUUGGUGGCAGCUGGGCAGAAUCAGAACUCGGAGAGAAAGUGUUGCCAGAAGCUUACACUAAUCCCAUAGUUCUUGAGGAAUCAAGGUUGUGAAAUGGAGGGGUGGCAGAGCUGAGAGAUGCAGCCCUCCUCAUUCCCAUCUUUGCUACCCGCACCACCCUCCUGUGACAUGUGCCCCAUGGUCGGGAGGAAGCAUCAGGACAGGAGCCCAGUGAGCUGCUUCUGGAGAAUGUGAAAGAGCAAAACAAGAAGGGCGUUGCUCUCUUCAGUUAUACCUUUGCAUCUUGCUAUUUUAGAGACUUUGCUGCUUGGGAGAAAAAGUUGGGAAAACCCACUGUGUCUCACCCCAUCCCACCAUGUGUGCUUGGAAAAAGCACAUGUGCUGAGAAAAGCCACAGUACCGGGCUAGCCCUGAGCACAUGAGGGUGGCACGUUGCUUGUGGCUGUGCCUCCUCUCACAGGCAAACUGGGACAUGAAAUGCAGAAGCUGGACCACACUUUGUGAGUAGACCUGGAAGAGCUUUCAGCUAGGUCUCGGGAAGAGGGAUUGCUCUGCCUCGGUGCCUGUGAUCCUCUGUGUUGCACAGGUGAUGGUGGAGGCCUCAGUACAUCACCAGCAAGUGAAAAGCAGUGCAUCAGUCACUGCCAGCUCUGUUUUUAUUAUUUGGCUUUCCCAGAUGAAGCACUCUUAGUCUGGAUAAACCUCUGCUCAGAAUUCACUGGGGUUGGCCUGAUGUCCCUAUAUAUUAGGAGUAAUUGAGAGAUACCAAUAUGCCUCCUUCUACCUGGAGGCAAGACUAGUUCUGCAACCUAAGCCUAGCUCGUCACUACAUUAGUAAUAUUAGUAAUACAUUAGUGAGUCAAACCACAAGUUUGACUGUCUUCCAUCUUAAUAAAAAAGUGCCUUUUGCAUGUUUCAACAGUACAUAGAAACUUUUGUGAAGUGUUAUAUUAAGAAAACCAGCCAAGGCUGUGUUGCUUUUCACAGCCAUAGAGAGGGGUAUGAUGGGAAUCCAGAUUUGCUCCAGUGUAGAAGCUGCCCUCUUACCAGCAUUUGUGUCUUAUAGACACUACCCAUCUGUAUGCUGCUUAUCUUCUAAACAUAAAUGCAGAUCCUUACAUCACUUCUCCUUCAUUUGCAGCAUCCCACCCCUGGUGGAGACAUCAAGUGUCCUUAAAUCACGCAGUUAUUCAUUUAUCAUUUGAAGGAGGGGACAAAAACUGCACUGAGGUGGAACAGUUAAAAAUACUGCUCUCUGACAUACCAUUUUUGACAAAAUAUUUUUUGGGUGAAAUUAUAACAGUCUUUGAUACAUUGCAUUUUGAUACAGCCUGCCUGAGUUCAAGAAGUGUUUGGACAAUGCUA
RNA transcript from Pipra filicauda (Wire-tailed manakin), 3045 nucleotides. It is a transcript of the gene named FLVCR heme transporter 2, with no coding region annotated. The record is from RefSeq and is a predicted model, not a curated record. NCBI's taxonomy places the organism in Eukaryota, Metazoa, Chordata, Aves, Passeriformes, Pipridae. The transcript is spliced from 12 exons.